RNAcentral lists this ribosomal RNA (899 nucleotides) under Sarocladium kiliense. RNAcentral describes it as "LSU rRNA". It matches the Rfam family "Eukaryotic large subunit ribosomal RNA", at positions 38 to 963 of the family's 3401-position model. The record is from RNAcentral. Lineage: Eukaryota; Fungi; Ascomycota; Sordariomycetes; Hypocreales; Sarocladiaceae.
GCAUAUCAAUAAGCGGAGGAAAAGAAACCAACAGGGAUUGCCUCAGUAACGGCGAGUGAAGCGGCAACAGCUCAAAUUUGAAAUCUGGCCGCAAGGUCCGAGUUUGUAAUUUGUAGAGGAUGCUUUUGGCGAGGUGCCUUCCGAGUUCCCUGGAACGGGACGCCAUAGAGGGUGAGAGCCCCGUACGGUAGGACCACCAAGCCUCUGUAAAGCUCCUUCGACGAGUCGAGUAGUUUGGGAAUGCUGCUCUAAAUGGGAGGUGUACGUCUUCUAAAGCUAAAUACCGGCCAGAGACCGAUAGCGCACAAGUAGAGUGAUCGAAAGAUGAAAAGCACUUUGAAAAGAGGGUUAAAAAGUACGUGAAAUUGUUGAAAGGGAAGCAUUCAUGACCAGACUUGGGCUUGGUUGAACAUCCGGCGUUCUCGCCGGUGCACUCUGCCAGUCCAGGCCAGCAUCAGUUUGCCCCGGGGGAUAAAGGCGGCGGGAAUGUGGCUCCCUUCGGGGAGUGUUAUAGCCCGUCGUGUAAUGCCCUGGGGCGGACUGAGGAACGCGCUUCGGCACGGAUGCUGGCGUAAUGGUCAUCAAUGACCCGUCUUGAAACACGGACCAAGGAGUCGUCUUCGUAUGCGAGUGUUCGGGUGUCAAACCCCUACGCGUAAUGAAAGUGAACGUAGGUGAGAGCUUCGGCGCAUCACCGACCGAUCCUGAUGUUCUCGGAUGGAUUUGAGUAAGAGCAUACGGGGCCGGACCCGAAAGAAGGUGAACUAUGCCUGUAUAGGGUGAAGCCAGAGGAAACUCUGGUGGAGGCUCGCAGCGGUUUCUGACGUGCAAAUCGAUCGUCAAAUAUGGGCAUGGGGGGCGAAAGACUAAUCGAACCUUCUAGUAGCUGGUUUCCGCGA